AUUGCUUCUCGGCUUUUUGGCUAAGAUCAAGUGUAGUAUCUGUUCUUAUCAGCUUAAUAUCUACUACAACCUCUGUCCAAGACUAAGAGCUAAAUCCUA
Ailuropoda melanoleuca (giant panda) is the source of this 99-nucleotide small nuclear RNA. Its record names the gene U2. It matches the Rfam family "U2 spliceosomal RNA". Rfam says of the family: U2 is a small nuclear RNA (snRNA) component of the spliceosome (involved in pre-mRNA splicing). Complementary binding between U2 snRNA (in an area lying towards the 5' end but 3' to hairpin I) and the branchpoint sequence (BPS) of the intron results the bulging out of an unpaired adenosine, on the BPS, which initiates a nucleophilic attack at the intronic 5' splice site, thus starting the first of two transesterification reactions that mediate splicing. NCBI's taxonomy places the organism in Eukaryota, Metazoa, Chordata, Mammalia, Carnivora, Ursidae. The record is from Ensembl.